GACGUAGGGCGCGAGCGUUGUCCGGAUUUAUUGGGCGUAAAGAGCUCGUAGGCGGCUUGUCGCGUCGGCUGUGAAAACCCGCGGCUCAACUGUGGGCGGGCAGCUGAUACGGGCAGGCUGGAGUUCGGUAGGGGAGACUGGAAUUCCUGGUGUAGCGGUGAGAUGCGCAGAUAUCAGGAGGAACACUGGUGGCGAAGGCGGGUCUCUGGGCCGAUACUGACGCUGAGGAGCGAAAGCGUGGGGAGCGAACAGG
This 253-nucleotide ribosomal RNA is filed under the name uncultured bacterium. RNAcentral describes it as "partial 16S ribosomal RNA". It matches the Rfam family "Bacterial small subunit ribosomal RNA", at positions 524 to 776 of the family's 1533-position model. The record is from RNAcentral.